This 553-nucleotide ribosomal RNA is filed under the name Aspergillus sp. PA-W1102-BC-1. Its description in RNAcentral is "eukaryotic LSU rRNA". The stretch from base 187 to 340 matches the Rfam family "5.8S ribosomal RNA". RNAcentral also lists the same sequence under 1 other name. Lineage: Eukaryota; Fungi; Ascomycota; Eurotiomycetes; Eurotiales; Aspergillaceae. The record is from RNAcentral.
ACCGAGUGAGGGCCCUCUGGGUCCAACCUCCCACCCGUGUCUAUCGUACCUUGUUGCUUCGGCGGGCCCGCCGUUUCGACGGCCGCCGGGGAGGCCUUGCGCCCCCGGGCCCGCGCCCGCCGAAGACCCCAACAUGAACGCUGUUCUGAAAGUAUGCAGUCUGAGUUGAUUAUCGUAAUCAGUUAAAACUUUCAACAACGGAUCUCUUGGUUCCGGCAUCGAUGAAGAACGCAGCGAAAUGCGAUAAGUAAUGUGAAUUGCAGAAUUCAGUGAAUCAUCGAGUCUUUGAACGCACAUUGCGCCCCCUGGUAUUCCGGGGGGCAUGCCUGUCCGAGCGUCAUUGCUGCCCUCAAGCACGGCUUGUGUGUUGGGCCCCCGUCCCCCUCUCCCGGGGGACGGGCCCGAAAGGCAGCGGCGGCACCGCGUCCGGUCCUCGAGCGUAUGGGGCUUUGUCACCUGCUCUGUAGGCCCGGCCGGCGCCAGCCGACACCCAACUUUAUUUUUCUAAGGUUGACCUCGGAUCAGGUAGGGAUACCCGCUGAACUUAAGCAUA